AGUCAUUAUGAUAAAGUUUUGCUUUUCAUACAGGAGUAAAACUUUUUGUCUGCAAUCAAUCUGUUAAAGCCUUUGCAUAUUACAAUAGUCUUUGAAUAAUUGAAAUAAAUACUGAGGGCUUUUUGUUAUAAAUCAUUUGGUAAGAUCUUUAGUCAACACCCUUACCUUCUGUUACACAAGAAUUGAGAGUGUUAACAAUCUGGCAAGCAUUAUGAUGUCUGUGUUUAUAUUAUUGAACCUGAAAACAUGGGAAAAUGAAUUCAUGAAGCCUCAUGAAUUUCAAUGAUAACAUAACUCUUAGAUUUAGAUUUAGAUUUCAUACUUCUCUUCAAUUAUAUUUAAUAAGUAGUUCAGUUGUAAAACUUUAUGGAUUUGUAUUAGUGCCUUUUCUGCUUUUGUUAUAUAAUGUCUACAUCAACUUAUAAAAAGUGUUUAGUUUGGCCCUUUGUUCCAGAGGGAUACAGAAUCACCAUGAAUGUGGCUUGGCAACAGGUAUUGGACAUGGCAUCCUAAGUAGGAAGCUAGGAACUUGUGUCAUCCACCUGCAGCAUGAAGUAGAGAUUGGGAAGUGGAAAUGGUGUGCAGAAAUUCUCAAAGCCUUCCACCAGCAAUAUAUUUCCUCCAGCAGGGCAGCAUUCCCGAAAUCUCCUCAAAUGAUAACAGUAGCUGAAAAGGUUUCUUGAAUCCUGAAUUCUUGUUUUCUGUUAAUGAACCAAUUCAUAUAGUCAAAAACCUGUAAGUAACCCUUUAGAUGCCUCAACACCUAAGUUAAGGAAAUGAAUGCUUAAAACAGAAAACUUCUAUGAUUAAAAAACUGUUUCAAUUUCAAUUAUGUGAUGCCAAUGUGUGCUUGUGUGUGUAUGUGUAUGCUGAUUCCCAAGAAGAUUAGACCUUUGGAUCUUCUUGUAGCAGGAAUUGUAGGAAGUUGUCCAAAAUUGGACCCUGGUCCUGGGAUUGAACUUUUCUUAACUCCCUAGCCAGGUCUCUAUCUUGGUAAAUAUUUAAAAGCUUAUUUACAUAAUUUUGAUGUCAGGAAAUAGGGACAAACCUAAACAAGAGAAAAACCUUGUGUAAAUGAUUUGAUAAAGACUUCAGACAUCACAGUUGUCUUCAGCAUCGUGGAAAAAAAACCCUUUUUUAUUUCUUUUUUGUCAUUGUCUUUUUUUUUUUUUUUUUAGAAUUUUUUAAACUUUAUUUUAUGUGCAUUGGUGUGAGGGUGUCAGAUCUCCUGGAAGUGCAAUUACAGACAGUUGUGAACUGCCAUGUGUGUGCUGGGAAUUGAAGCUGGGUCCUCUGGAAGAGCAACUAGUGGUCUUAACCACUGGGCCAUCUCUCCAGCCCCCUCAUCAUAGUCUUGAAGUAAGUACAUUACCAUGUUCACUCAAGACUGUCAGCGGAACUCUUCCUGUAAGCGGCCUAAGGUGACCCGUGAAGAUGGUUCGCUACUCGCUUGACCCAGAAAACCCUACAAAAUCAUGCAAAACGAGAGGUUCAAAUCUUCAGGUUCACUUUAAGAACACCCGUGAAACUGCCCAGGCCAUCAAGGGUAUGCAUAUCUGAAAAGCCACCAAGUAUCUGAAAGAUGUCACUUUAAAGAAGCAAUGUGUGCCUUUCUGGUGGUAUAAUGGUGGAGUUGGUAGGUGCGCCCAGGCCAAACAGUGGGGCUGGACACAGGGCCGGUGGCCUAAAAAGAGUGCUGAAUUUUUGCUGCACAUGCUUAAGAAUGCAGAGAGUAAUGCUGAACUGAAGGGUCUAGAUGUUGAUUCUCUAGUCAUUGAACACAUCCAGGUGAACAAAGCACCUAAGAUGUGGCGACGGACUUACAGAGCUCAUGGCUGGAUUAACCCAUACAUGAGCUCCCCCUGCCACAUCAAGAUGAUCCUCACUGAAAAGGAACAAAUUGUUCCAAUGCCAGAAGAGGAGGUUGCGCAGAAGAAGAUAUCCCAGAAGAAACGGGAGAAAAAAAAAAAAAAAACUUAUGGCAUGGGAAUAAAUUCCACAUAAAAUAAAUGCAGAUAAAAGUAAAAAAAAAAAAAAAAAGAAAGACUGCCAGUGGAGAUCAUUACCUUGUGAUUUUUAUUUUGAAACAUUUAUGGUAUUUACUGAUGUGUGCUAUAUGUGUGGCAAAUCCAUUUAAUGAUGUUUAUUUUGUUGCCCUUAUAUUCUUUCUGUGGAAUUUUUAAACUAUUGUGCUUUUACUUAGUAAUAGGUAUUUUCUGUUGUAAUGGAUGGAAUGGGAUGCCCUUCAUCUAAGUCGUCCAUUGUUUAUAUAAAUAUCAGGCAAUGUUUGAUCAUACUUUUCAAGUAAGAGGGUGUGUGUGAAAGGGUAGUGGGUAGUUGUUCCUGCUUUUGUUUCUUUCAUAUUUUCACCAAUUCACUUGAGAUUUUCUUUGUUAUUCAGCCUGGCUUGGAUGUCAGUAAUUACUCAGUCCAAGGGUAUAUACUCCCAAUGGGUGCUAUUUUGUAAACACUAUAUAAUAGUGUUAAUGUUAAAAUGAGACUGUAAGAAACAUUAAAUACCUCAUGUGUUUUCAAAGCAGUAUUUUUUAUCUGGUAGAGAUGUAAUAAAGUAGAAUAAUCAAUCAAAUGUGUAUUGAAUACCAUAGAUUUUUGUGCUAUGCAGAUAUAUACAUUUAUGCACAUGUAUAUAUAUGUUUAUAAUGUAUAUUUCAUUCUUAUUCUUGUCCCUAUUAGUUUACCAUUUGGCAUUUCAACUUGAAGCAUUGCCUUUGCCUUCUAAGGAAUUUCUUGAGAGAUGCCAGAUAAUAUAAUAGCAAUAAAAUAUAUGUUUUUAA
Peromyscus maniculatus bairdii (prairie deer mouse) is the source of this 2795-nucleotide non-coding RNA. The record is from RefSeq and is a predicted model, not a curated record. NCBI's taxonomy places the organism in Eukaryota, Metazoa, Chordata, Mammalia, Rodentia, Cricetidae.